Molecule: ribosomal RNA, 253 nt
Filed under: uncultured bacterium
Lineage: Bacteria
Description: partial 16S ribosomal RNA
Rfam family: Bacterial small subunit ribosomal RNA
Source: RNAcentral
UACGUAGGGUGCGAGCGUUAAUCGGAAUUACUGGGCGUAAAGCGUGCGCAGGCGGUUCGCUAAGACCGAUGUGAAAUCCCCGGGCUUAACCUGGGAACUGCAUUGGUGACUGGCGAGCUAGAGUGUGGCAGAGGGGGGUAGAAUUCCACGUGUAGCAGUGAAAUGCGUAGAGAUGUGGAGGAAUACCGAUGGCGAAGGCAGCCCCCUGGGCUAACACUGACGCUCAUGCACGAAAGCGUGGGGAGCAGACAGG